RNAcentral lists this ribosomal RNA (1396 nucleotides) under uncultured organism. RNAcentral's name for it is "SSU rRNA". It matches the Rfam family "Bacterial small subunit ribosomal RNA". The record is from RNAcentral.
CUCAGGAUGAACGCUAGCUACAGGCUUAACACAUGCAAGUCGAGGGGCAGCAUGGUCUUAGCUUGCUAAGGCCGAUGGCGACCGGCGCACGGGUGAGUAACACGUAUCCAACCUGCCGUCUACUCUUGGACAGCCUUCUGAAAGGAAGAUUAAUACAAGAUGGCAUCAUGAGUCCGCAUGUUCACAUGAUUAAAGGUAUUCCGGUAGACGAUGGGGAUGCGUUCCAUUAGAUAGUAGGCGGGGUAACGGCCCACCUAGUCUUCGAUGGAUAGGGGUUCUGAGAGGAAGGUCCCCCACAUUGGAACUGAGACACGGUCCAAACUCCUACGGGAGGUAGCAGUGAGGAAUAUUGGUCAAUGGGCGAGAGCCUGAACCAGCCAAGUAGCGUGAAGGAUGACUGCCCUAUGGGUUGUAAACUUCUUUUAUAAAGGAAUAAAGUCGGGUAUGCAUACCCGUUUGCAUGUACUUUAUGAAUAAGGAUCGGCUAACUCCGUGCCAGCAGCCGCGGUAAUACGGAGGAUCCGAGCGUUAUCCGGAUUUAUUGGGUUUAAAGGGAGCGUAGAUGGAUGUUUAAGUCAGUUGUGAAAGUUUGCGGCUCAACCGUAAAAUUGCAGUUGAUACUGGAUAUCUUGAGUGCAGUUGAGGCAGGCGGAAUUCGUGGUGUAGCGGUGAAAUGCUUAGAUAUCACGAAGAACUCCGAUUGCGAAGGCAGCCUGCUAAGCUGCAACUGACAUUGAGGCUCGAAAGUGUGGGUAUCAAACAGGAUUAGAUACCCUGGUAGUCCACACGGUAAACGAUGAAUACUCGCUGUUUGCGAUAUACAGCAAGCGGCCAAGCGAAAGCGUUAAGUAUUCCACCUGGGGAGUACGCCGGCAACGGUGAAACUCAAAGGAAUUGACGGGGGCCCGCACAAGCGGAGGAACAUGUGGUUUAAUUCGAUGAUACGCGAGGAACCUUACCCGGGCUUAAAUUGCAGAUGAAUUACGGUGAAAGCCGUAAGCCGCAAGGCAUCUGUGAAGGUGCUGCAUGGUUGUCGUCAGCUCGUGCCGUGAGGUGUCGGCUUAAGUGCCAUAACGAGCGCAACCCUUGUUGUCAGUUACUAACAGGUUCCGCUGAGGACUCUGACAAGACUGCCAUCGUAAGAUGUGAGGAAGGUGGGGAUGACGUCAAAUCAGCACGGCCCUUACGUCCGGGGCUACACACGUGUUACAAUGGGGGGUACAGAGGGCCGCUACCACGCGAGUGGAUGCCAAUCCCAAAAACCUCUCUCAGUUCGGACUGGAGUCUGCAACCCGACUCCACGAAGCUGGAUUCGCUAGUAAUCGCGCAUCAGCCACGGCGCGGUGAAUACGUUCCCGGGCCUUGUACACACCGCCCGUCAAGCCAUGGGAGCCGG